UACGAAGGAUGCAAGCGUUAUCCGGAUUCAUUGGGUUUAAAGGGAGCGUAGGUGGCCUUAUAAGUCAGUGGUGAAAUCUCUGGGCUUAACUCAGAAAUUGCCAUUGAUACUGUAGGGCUUGAGUAUAGUUGCCGUUGGCGGAAUAUGACAUGUAGUGGUGAAAUGCGCAGAUAUCAGGAAGAACACCCGUGGCGAAGGCGGUUCUCUGGGACGGUACUGACGCUGAAACGCGAAAGCGUGGGGAGCGAACAGG
This 253-nucleotide ribosomal RNA is filed under the name uncultured bacterium. Its description in RNAcentral is "partial 16S ribosomal RNA". It matches the Rfam family "Bacterial small subunit ribosomal RNA", at positions 524 to 776 of the family's 1533-position model. The record is from RNAcentral.